Molecule: ribosomal RNA, 880 nt
Filed under: Vicosamyces venturisporus
Lineage: Eukaryota; Fungi; Ascomycota; Dothideomycetes; Pleosporales; Didymosphaeriaceae
Description: eukaryotic LSU rRNA
Rfam family: Eukaryotic large subunit ribosomal RNA
Source: RNAcentral
GCAUAUCAAUAAGCGGAGGAAAAGAAACCAACAGGGAUUGCCCCAGUAACGGCGAGUGAAGCGGCAGCAGCUCAAAUUUGAAAUCGGGCUCUCUUUAGAGGUUCGAGUUGUAAUUUGCAGAGGAUGCUUUGGCGCUGGUGGCGGUCUAAGUUCCUUGGAACAGGACAUCGCAGAGGGUGAGAAUCCCGUAUGUGGGCGCCAGCCUUUGCCGUGUAAAGCUCCUUCAACGAGUCGAGUUGUUUGGGAAUGCAGCUCUAAGUGGGAGGUAAAUUUCUUCUAAAGCUAAAUACUGGCCAGAGACCGAUAGCGCACAAGUAGAGUGAUCGAAAGAUGAAAAGUACUUUGGAAAGAGAGUCAAAUAGCACGUGAAAUUGUUGAAAGGGAAGCGCUUAUAGCCAGACUUGUCUACGGUUGCUCACCUAGGCUUUGGCCUGGGGCACUCUUCUGUGGGCAGGCCAGCAUCGGUUUGGGCGGCUGGACAAAGGCCUCUAUCACGUAUCCUCCUCCGGGAUGACCUUAUAGGGGGGGCGCAAUGCAGCCAGCUCAGACUGAGGUCCGCGCAUCUGCUAGGAUGCUGGCGUAAUGGCUGUAAGCGGCCCGUCUUGAAACACGGACCAAGGAGUCUAACAUCUAUGCAAGUGUUUGGGUGCCAAGCCCGGGCGCGCAAUGAAAGUGAAUGGAGGUGGGAACCCUUUGGGUGCACCAUCGACCGAUCCUGAUGUCUUCGGAUGGAUUUGAGUAGGAGCAUAGCUGUUGGGACCCGAAAGAUGGUGAACUAUGCUUGAAUAGGGUGAAGCUAGAGGAAACUCUGGUGGAGGCUCGCAGCGGUUCUGACGUGCAAAUCGAUCGUCAAAUUUGGGCAUAGGGGCGAAAGACUAAU